UGGGGAAUAUUGCACAAUGGGCGCAAGCCUGAUGCAGCCAUGCCGCGUGUAUGAAGAAGGCCUUCGGGUUGUAAAGUACUUUCAGCGAGGAGGAAGGCGUUGUGGUUAAUAACCGCAACGAUUGACGUUACUCGCAGAAGAAGCACCGGCUAACUCCGUGCCAGCAGCCGCGGUAAUACGGAGGGUGCAAGCGUUAAUCGGAAUUACUGGGCGUAAAGCGCACGCAGGCGGUCUGUCAAGUCGGAUGUGAAAUCCCCGGGCUCAACCUGGGAACUGCAUCCGAAACUGGCAGGCUAGAGUCUUGUAGAGGGGGGUAGAAUUCCAGGUGUAGCGGUGAAAUGCGUAGAGAUCUGGAGGAAUACCGGUGGCGAAGGCGGCCCUCUGGACAAAGACUGACGCUCAGGUGCGAAAGCGUGGGGAGCAAACA
RNAcentral lists this ribosomal RNA (427 nucleotides) under uncultured bacterium. Its description in RNAcentral is "partial 16S ribosomal RNA". It matches the Rfam family "Bacterial small subunit ribosomal RNA", at positions 355 to 774 of the family's 1533-position model. The record is from RNAcentral.